GUAGGCUGCAACUCGCCUACAUGAAGUUGGAAUCGCUAGUAAUCGCGAAUCAGAAUGUCGCGGUGAAUACGUUCCCGGGUCUUGUACACACCGCCCGUCACACCACGAGAGUUUACAACACCCGAAGUCAGUGGCCUAACCGCAAGGAGGGAGCUGCCUAAGGUGGGGUAGAUGAUUGGGGUGAAGUCGUAACAAGGUAUC
Molecule: ribosomal RNA, 201 nt
Filed under: uncultured bacterium
Lineage: Bacteria
Description: partial 16S ribosomal RNA
Rfam family: Bacterial small subunit ribosomal RNA
Source: RNAcentral